Long non-coding RNA from Naja naja (Indian cobra), 2310 nucleotides. NCBI's taxonomy places the organism in Eukaryota, Metazoa, Chordata, Lepidosauria, Squamata, Elapidae. The record is from Ensembl.
CAAAAUACCAUAUGUAAAGUAAUAACAAAUAUUUUAGCUUUCACUCUGCAAUUUUGUGUUUUCAGGGAUUUUGGAGGACAGCAAAUCAACCCAGACCUGCAUGGCAAAGUCUUCAAUUUCAAGUGGCAUGGCUAUUCCCGAAAAAAGAGCUAAUUGUGCUACACAGUGUACAAAACUAUCAACUCACACCACUGGAAAUGCAGCCCAGAAGCCACAAAAUAGCUCUAGAACCUCAGAGGCUAAAUGGGACAAGAAAAGAGCCACAAAAGAAGUUAGUAGUAAUACUGCCAAAACAGACAAAUACAAACAAGUAAAUAGCAACAGAAGAGUCGCAAAGAAUGGUAUCAAUUAAGGAAAUACUGAAAAAAGGUGAACGAAUUCUGCAAUAUCUUGCUGCACUUUACCUGACUGCGUAAUUCAGGGAUCUGGAAUUUCAACAUUGAUAUUAUGCUGAAGGUGGCGGACAACUGAUGCUGAGUGCCUUCAGAAAAAUGGUGGACUUUAUUAGCUCUGCAGUUCUGCCAACAUUGGAAGCUUGAAUACUUUUUCUUGUCUUGUACCUGAUGAGCUUGGCCAUCAGUUAGGAAGUAACUGGUUUGAUUUUUACUUUGCCACCAUACAAUCAGCUAUUGAUUGAUUGACUGAUUGAUUCAUUAUGUGCCAUCAAGAUAGUGUGGAUUCUUAGAGACCACAAAGACAGAUUUUUCUCCAGGAUGAUCUGUUCCCAGCCUGACUCUUCUGAUGGUGCACAGUCGUCAUCUAGAUUAAUUCAAUUUUCAUAUGAAAUGUGUAUUAUCUGAAAUCAAAAUGUGAGUACAGCAAUCGCUGUGUGCAAAAUAGCACCCUGGGUGAUCCUGUCAUUAAUGUGCUGAGAUACCACAAGAGAGUUCUACUAUUAUAGAGAGCUUGCUGCUACUUAAAAUAGAUGGCCCAAAUUUGUGUCACUGUAUAUAACUGUGUGGCAGGUGUAAAACACUUAAGAAUGAAGUAUUCUGUUUGGCCAUAUAGGAAGUUUGCACUGGGUUAUUGUAUUAUAAUAGUUCAUGGUACUUGCUCAUUUUUGGGGAAAGUCAAUUCCCCCUGUCAAUGUGCCACAAUGUGGUGUGUACGCCAUGCAGGACAGGCCUAAUUCAAUUGUCAGUCUCAUUGGCAGCUGCCUAAAACCAAAAGUGAUUAUUUUUCAAGAAUAAUUCUCACAAAGUUCCCUAGCAGGAAAUGAAAAGGAAGAAUUGCAACAAAUCGUGAAUUAUAUUCAGAGUUGAAAUAACCUGUAUCCACCAACAUUGGGGUGGACAUUUUCUGAUUUUCUAACCAUUUUUCUAUGGUUCAUAAAGGAGGUGGUCUCUGCAUUGAUAAUGAGGAAAAUUUCAUCUGUCCGUGUGAUCAAAGCUCAGCUUUGAUACUAUUUUGAUAACAUAAAGUGUGACUGUAAGUCUGAGUUUCACAUUGGCCUUUGCAUUUAUUCCUGCUGAAAAUCAUGCUGCUAUAAAAUAGUAAAAUUAUGCCAAAUGCAUUGUUUAUUUAUUGUUUUUGUAAGGGUAUACAAUUCAAGAACUCUUGAGGGCUCAUGUGCUGCUUGCAUUCCGUGGAUGGGGCUUCGCUUGUUUGUGCAGCCUGGUUUCUGGCAUGUCGCGGACUGGUGCCAGUUCACGGACUGGAGAUUGGGAACCCUGGCCAUAUAGGAUUUAAAAUAGAUUUUAAAAAUUGACUGAAUAUGACUACCUAAAAAGAUAGUUUUGAUUUCACUUGAGGAGCAACUGAUGUAAAGUUCAAAAUGCUUAAUAGUGAUAGAAGAUAUUCACAGCAAGUAAAAGUAAGUUUUAGGAUGAAAUUAUAUGUGACAGUGUGAGGAAAGUGCAUAUUUCAAGAAUUUUCAUUUUUCACAUUUGCAUAUUAUAAACUUCCCCAAGUGUUUAAAUCCUGCCCUCAUGGUAAAAAUCCUUUUUAAUGUACUGUACACUUAAUAAGAGCUUCAAAUAGAGGGGAUGGGGUGGGGAAAUUAUCUCUUGAUUGUAUCUUUUCAAAAGUUUUCAAAAAUUGUAUACACUGUAUUGGAGUCUCUAAUUUUAAUGGAGAAGCAGAGCUGUUUUAAAGCAGGACUAAAUUUUCCAAGCAGAAGUCUGAUCUAUAAAUUAAUAAAAUAUUAAUCAGUAAACAAAUUAAGUGACCAGAUUACUGGAGAGAAUCAAAGCUGAACAAUUAUCAAUGUGUUGAAUGAGAACCUUAAUUAGCACAGAAGGGAGACGUUUUGGAAAUGUAACUAGAAAAAUGUGUACUAUUAAAAGAAAUUGCUUGAUAUUGAAAUCCAGU